RNAcentral lists this ribosomal RNA (445 nucleotides) under uncultured bacterium. RNAcentral's name for it is "SSU rRNA". It matches the Rfam family "Bacterial small subunit ribosomal RNA", at positions 26 to 518 of the family's 1533-position model. The record is from RNAcentral.
AGAACGAACGCUGGCGGCAGGCCUAAUACAUGCAAGUCGAACGCACUCUUCGGAGUGAGUGGCAGACGGGUGAGUAACGCGUGGGAACCUUCCCAAUGGUACGGAAUAACUCCGGGAAACCGGUGCUAAUACCGUAUAAGCCCCUCGGGGGAAAGAUUUAUCGCCAUUGGAUGGGCCCGCGUCGGAUUAGCUAGUUGGUAAGGUAAUGGCUUACCAAGGCUACGAUCCGUAGCUGGUCUGAGAGGAUGAUCAGCCACACUGGGACUGAGACACGGCCCAGACUCCUACGGGAGGCAGCAGUAGGGAAUCUUGGACAAUGGGCGAAAGCCUGAUCCAGCCAUGCCGCGUGAGUGAAGAAGGCCUUAGGGUUGUAAAGCUCUUUUGGCGGGGACGAUAAUGACGGUACCCGCAGAAUAAGCCCGGCUAACUUCGCGCCAGCAGCCGC